AACGAACGCUGGCGGCAUGCCUAACACAUGCAAGUCGAACGAGAUCUUCGGGUCUAGUGGCGCACGGGUGCGUAACGCGUGGGAAUCUGCCCUUUGGUUCGGAAUAACAGUUGGAAACGACUGCUAAUACCGGAUGAUGACGAAAGUCCAAAGAUUUAUCGCCAGAAGAUGAGCCCGCGUAGGAUUAGCUAGUUGGUGUGGUAAAGGCGCACCAAGGCGACGAUCCUUAGCUGGUCUGAGAGGAUGAUCAGCCACACUGGGACUGAGACACGGCCCAGACUCCUACGGGAGGCAGCAGUGGGGAAUAUUGGACAAUGGGCGAAAGCCUGAUCCAGCAAUGCCGCGUGAGUGAUGAAGGCCUUAGGGUUGUAAAGCUCUUUUACCCGGGAUGAUAAUGAUAGUACCGGGAGAAUAAGCUCCGGCUAACUCCGUGCCAGCCGCCGCGGUAA
Molecule: ribosomal RNA, 449 nt
Filed under: uncultured bacterium
Lineage: Bacteria
Description: partial 16S ribosomal RNA
Rfam family: Bacterial small subunit ribosomal RNA
Source: RNAcentral